AUACGGAGGAUCCGAGCGUUAUCCGGAUUUAUUGGGUUUAAAGGGAGCGUAGGUGGACAGUUAAGUCAGUUGUGAAAGUUUGCGGCUCAACCGUAAAAUUGCAGUUGAUACUGGCUGUCUUGAGUACAGUAGAGGUGGGCGGAAUUCGUGGGGUAGCGGUGAAAUGCUUAGAUAUCACGAAGAACUCCGAUCGCGAAGGCAGCUCACCGGGCCGGAACUGACACUGAUGCUCGAAAGUGCGGGUAUCAAACAGGAUUAGAUACCCUGGUAGUCCGCACAGUAAACGAUGAAUACUCGCUGUUUGCGAUACACGGUAAGCGGCCAAGCGAAAGCGUUAAGUAUUCCACCUGGGGAGUACGCCGGCAACGGUGAAACUCAAAGGAAUUGGCGGGG
RNAcentral lists this ribosomal RNA (393 nucleotides) under uncultured bacterium. Its description in RNAcentral is "partial 16S ribosomal RNA". It matches the Rfam family "Bacterial small subunit ribosomal RNA", at positions 523 to 918 of the family's 1533-position model. The record is from RNAcentral.